CAUGUCACUCAAACCAGCUGUAUUAAGGAAGGUGCAAGCUUUUGGGAUUUCUGUUUGGAUUUAGUUUAGGUUCAAAAGAGCACGCACAGAUCCUGAGUGUUGUCAAGCACCCGUGACUGGGAAACGGAGGCGUCCGAUCCGUAUUGGAGUCAAUUCGCCACUUAAUUGAACACAGCCUCGAAGGGAAGGGCCAUAUUUGUGGGCCUGUCUAACAAUUAAGAGUGACCACAUGGAAUGGGGGAUGAAAGGGUUAAAGAAGAACAAAUAUUGAACACAGCUUUUCUAUGAACAAACUGCAGGCAGCUGCUGCUUUGCAAGGGGAACUUCUUGGCUGCCAUUUCUGGAUGUCAAGGCUGCAGAUACACUGGUCAGGACCCUGGGUAGAGAGAGAUGCGUCAGAAUGCGGCUCCUUUCAGAAAGGCUUCUCCGGAGUUUCAGGGGUUACUCCAUCAUUAUCAUGGCAGGGAACAUGGCAGGAUGCAGGCAGAUGGUAGCUGAGAGUUCUACAUCUGGAUCCACAGGAAGCAGUUGAUUGAGAAUAAUGGUUCUGUUUUGGAGGUUGAUGGAAGAUGCCCUUUGGCCAGGAAAACAGCUCAUGCUUUUAGAGGAGGAUAAUUGCCAGAAGGCCUCUCUGAAUAAAAAAAAAUCCUGACCUCA
RNAcentral lists this long non-coding RNA (657 nucleotides) under Mus musculus (house mouse). Its description in RNAcentral is "predicted gene 14461". The record is from RNAcentral. Lineage: Eukaryota; Metazoa; Chordata; Mammalia; Rodentia; Muridae.